UUAGUAUUUUUAAUUAGAUUUGAAUUACAAUUGAGGAUUUAUUCCUUAUUUUGCCCUAGUUAUUUUGGUGCUACAUGCCUCUGUUUUCUUAAGGAGUGGUUAAAUUUAUAUCUUCCGAUUUUUCUUUUGAUGUUCUUCCAGUACUUUAAAACCCCUUUGACGAAUGGCAAGUGGCGGUUUGUGUUUUCCUCAUCUUUUGCUCGCUUCUGGGAGGGCUCAACUUGCUUUGCUUGGUUUUGGAGUCAAGCUCCCCGCUCCUCAUCCCCUUAGGUGGCAGAGGAGAUGAAGACUUGGCUAUUAGCCCGCCUAUCUUCGAUUUCUCCGGUUCUUUGAGCUUUCUCUGUGUUUGAUUUUGGCUGGAGCUUGAGUGACUUGGCUCUGGUUCUGCCAUGGUUGCAGAGUUGGUGAUUGUAGGUUUGCGCUUGUGGGGCAUUUCCUCUGCCCUGUUCGGGGCAUGCGACGGCAGAACUUGAUGAUGGCUCUAGAAGCUUUUCGAGUUAAGGUUUCUGGAUUUGUCCUCAGUUUGGGCCUCGUAGGCUUUGGACUUUUAGUUUUUUGCCUUUUGUUUUUGGGCUUGGGCCCUCAGCCCACCUCCUAUUUUG
This 602-nucleotide unclassified non-coding RNA is filed under the name Hevea brasiliensis (rubber tree). The record is from RNAcentral. Lineage: Eukaryota; Viridiplantae; Streptophyta; Magnoliopsida; Malpighiales; Euphorbiaceae.